AAAAAAAAAAAAAGAGAAAAAAAAAAAAAAAAAAAAAAAAAAAAAAAAAAAAAAAAAAAAAAAAAAAAAAAGGGGGGGGGAGAAAAAAAAGG
Malurus melanocephalus (red-backed fairy wren) is the source of this 92-nucleotide long non-coding RNA. RefSeq lists it as uncharacterized. Lineage: Eukaryota; Metazoa; Chordata; Aves; Passeriformes; Maluridae. The record is from RefSeq and is a predicted model, not a curated record. The transcript is spliced from 2 exons.